Long non-coding RNA from Puntigrus tetrazona (Sumatra barb), 871 nucleotides. RefSeq lists it as uncharacterized. The transcript is spliced from 3 exons. The record is from RefSeq and is a predicted model, not a curated record. Lineage: Eukaryota; Metazoa; Chordata; Actinopteri; Cypriniformes; Cyprinidae.
AUAUACAUGUCACUGUCAACAUAAAAAUAAAUAAAUGAAAUACAUAAUAAAUCACUGCAGUUGGUCUGUGUGGCUUUUAGAUUCAUGGUUCGUUUUAGAUUAGAUCGUGUAAUAUAUUACACUACUUCCGCACAUACUAUAAGCCAUUAUGGAUUCAUAUUAAUUGUGUUUACAAUAGGUUUUAAUAUUGUUUUGAAUCUCGCCAUGUAGUCGCUGGAUGGACAUCUAGUGGCUGGAUGGUUUGCGCAUGCGCAGUAUGCAGAUAGCGCAGAACUGCAGUUGUUGGUCGUUGAAGGAGGUGAGACUUAUAACGGUUAAAGAUGACAACCUCUUGGAGUGAUCGACUCCAGAAUUAUGCAGAACUUCCUGCCAACAUGGAUGGUUUAUCCAUGAAGAAAUACAGAAGAGAGGUGCAUCACAGCUUACCACAGGAACUGGCCCACUGUCAUCCUUCUAUGAGGUAUGCCAAAGUUAUUUUUGUUGACCUGCAGUGCUGACUGAUUAUCUGUUUUGUAAUUGAUGUUUUUUUUUCUCCCAUGUACUCAUCACAGCACAGCACUAAAAAUACAAAAUGAACAAAACCAUCAAUGCUUUUGCACUGUGCUGUGAUUGUAUGUAGGUGUCCAUAGGAAGACCUGUGAUGGGAUUUGAAUCUGUGAGAUCAUUCCUUCAUUUUGCCUUCCCCUAGCCAUAUGUCCUUCAUUCUUCCUCUUAACACAUCACUUAACCGCUAAUUUAUUCCUAGAAAUAUUUUAAAUGUCUUACUGCAAAUGCGGAGCUGAAUUAAGAUGGUCUAGCAUCAGGUGAAUUCAAAUAAAAAUAUAUCUUUUAAAAUCAAGUAAAAAUAACUGACCAUAGCGCAAUUUCAAAC